GGGCGGGAACUGGGGGGCGGGGUGUGCGCGGGCUUGGUUUGGGGCCGCGGCGGGAGCGGGAGUCACCGCCACUCCAGUGCGCAGGCGCCUGGCGGUUACCGGUCUCGCCAUGGAGCGGAAAGGCCCGGGUCAACGCCGGGAAUUUGGCCUAACCGCCGCCGUCCGGUCCCCGGGUGUGCGGCGGUCCUCCGCCGAGGUGGCGCCGCCCCGCAACCCCCGCCUUUGGGCUGCGGGUCCGCGCCCCUCAGUCCGGGCGUCCUUCCGCGCCGGCAGGCAUCGCCCCUUGUUCCUUGCCCCGCCGGCCCACGCCUCGCGGCCACUCCAGGGCCCGGCCCUCGGCGACCGAGGCCGACCCCCGCCAGCCAGCCCCUUGACACGGCCCGAGCCCCCUCGGGCGCGCCUCGCCUGGACGCUUCUCUGCGCGGGGUGGGCCCCCAGCCCCCUGAGCGGCCGCCCGGCCGACUUCGCGGCACUCGCCCCGGAGCUGAUCCUCAGGCAGGCCCCGCAUCCGGGCCUCGAGCCCCAGCUGGGUCUCCACCCUUACCUUGGCCGCCUCCUUUCCUCCCCACUCGCCCUUCAUCCAUCCCUCUCUCCUGCAGUGCUUGCGCUCCAGGCCCGAAAGAAAAGGACCAAGGCCAAGAAGGACAAAGCCCAAAGGAAGUGAGUCUCGAACCCCAACGUCCCAUUCUUUGGGUCCCCCCCCCUCCGGCACCUCUUCUCCUCCGGUUUCACGCCUUGAACAUGCAGCGGGUGUGGGGACCCUGCGGCCCCAGCCACAUGGCCUCGAGGCGGCUGAAGGAGGGUCGCCCCCCCCCCCAACCAUGUGGAACGGAGCUUCUGUUGCUGAAGGCCAGGUCUGGGUCUGAGCAGCCCCACGCCUGCAGGAAAGGGCUUUUGGGGGAGGACCAGAGCCCGACCUGUCCAUUUACCUUCCCAACGCCAGAGAGGAGGCCCAAGAUCCCCGAAUUUGGGCCUCCCCACGGAGGUGGUAGAUCAUUAUCAGCUUGUGAACUCUGCUCCCUUUUCCACACCUGCUUCCCAGCGUCUUCACUUGCCUGCUACAUCUGAGGUUAGGCAGUCAGGGAAUUCGUGAAUGAAUGUUCCGUAAUUUGGUCUGCUUUUUAUAGGAGAGGGCAUGGAGCUUCCCCUCGGGUCAGGCAACUUGCUGAGCCUGCCAGGCGCAUCGCUUUCCUUGCCGAGUGCAGGCAGACCACUGGGUCUCUUCUUCCUGAACCUCAAGUCCUCGCCCUGAAUGCACAUACCUUCUGUAGUGGGCAUCACAGAGGUGCCAGGGAGGUUCUUUAGUCAGCGCUGUUGGUGAUUACGGUUUGGUGUAUGUCCGUUUUUAUCAGCAGGAUGCAUAAUCGUGGUUUAGUGCUAUUGUGGGAAACACAAAAGUUGGCCAGAGCUUCUUAGAAACGCCCAGUAGAGGGCUUCUGCAAUUCUUCUUAGUCUGAAGAACUUUUAUGUUGUACUCACGUUUAAUUGCAGAGGGUUUUGGAAAUUGUCUUCUAGAAAAAUAUGCAUUUUUUUCCUGAUAGCUUUUCAUUCCAUUUAUUUGGAUUUACAUGGAGUACACCAUCUAAGUCUUUCUGAGCAAUAAAAUUUAUUUCACAGGCUUUCCUGGAUUUCCUUUCUGAAUGGCAAUGCCAAAUGGGUGUGUGUGUGUGUGUGUGUGUGUUUGUGUGUGUGUGUGUGUGUGUUGUUUUUGGUGGCUACCUAAUGUUUCCAGAGAGCAAAAAUGACAUAAAUAGAGCUAAACUGGUAGGUGACCUCACCUCUUGCUUCAUUUCUAUGCAGUGUCUUAUUAAACUUACUUUGUAAAGUGCUUGGUAACUUUAAUGCAUUUAAAUGUGAGUUUAUCUAUAUAUGUUUGUGUACUUAUUUGCUUCUUGAUUAUCCAGGUAUGGAUGAUUCAAAAACCAGUUUUUACUCUCAGAUUGGUUUAAUGAAAACAGCGAGGAGCUAACCUCAUUCUUCUAUGCAUUGGAAUUUAAAUGUUACUCUGUGCAUGUGUGUGCACCCCACUGGCAGGGCAUGUGGUUACCUUCUUCCCUGUGGAGUUGAUAUGAAUGUGUUAUAAAACAAUAGGUUUACUGCUGAUGUAAGGAGCUGGUGAUUUUUAUUGUUCACUGUAUCAUUUAGAAUUCAUCUGUCUGAUCUCUCUCCAGAGGAAAUAAAUAUGUAUGGGUGAUCAUAUACUUUAUUUUUAACACCAGAUAUUUAUUACUUUGGAUUAUCUAUUUAGACCAUAUACUUUAUUUCUAAAGCUGAAUAUAUGUCCUUUGGAUUAUCUGUUAUUCCUCCAUUUCACUACUGCGGAUAACUAAGAGUUACUUGUGUUCUUAAUUAUUUAUGUACUUGCGCAAAAGCGAGUGAAUAGUAUAGUUAAUUAGCAGUUAUUUUACUGAAUAUUUCAUUUUGUACAACUUUGACUCCUUGAGUCAUCCCCAUUUACUUGUAGUUUCAGAAGUGCUUUUUUUCUUCAAUUAAUAGUGUUUCUUGAUCAUUUUACCUUUUGUUUGUUUCUCCAGCUUCCUAUUAAGCAGCUGAAAUGUCUAAUUAAUUAACUUGGUUAGAGAGUACUAUGUCAGAAGUUCAAGCCCUGCCUGGCUCAGGUAACUUGAUUCUAUUCCAUGACUCCUGACUGCACUCCUGACUUCCAGUCCCUUUGCAAAGACAAGCUGCUAGUUACCAGAUUAGUUAGGGUAGAAAGUGAGGAAGAAGCAUGCCAUAGAUUGGUCUUUGGAGUGAGUCAGAUCUGGUUGAAAUUCUGACUUUGCUACUUUUUAGCAAUUGUCUUAGUUAAGAAAAUAGUUUUUUAUGUUAUGACUCAGUCAUAAGGAAAACUGGAUCAGGACUUGAAAUUUUAAAAAACAAUCAUUUAAAUGAAAAACCUCAGAAACUUGUGGAGGUACAACUAGCAUCCUGAUAGUUUAGUCAUGGUGUGGUAUAGGUGUAAAGGAUUUUCAUUCCCCUGACUUUGUAGUCCUUGAAACUAGAAUCUCCAUACUUUAAAUAAUGUGCCCAUGGAGUCUGAGCUGCUUGCAUUAGGGUCAAAACUGAAAUCCAGGGCUCCUUUUUCCAGUGCAAUUUAGGAUUUGCUGUCUUUGGGUUCUUUUACUAUGCUGAAAGAUCUGACUUUGGGAAUUUUUAGUUGUCGUAUUUCUAGACUUUCUUUCUCAAUUUUACUUUUUCAGGCAUUGUGCUUUAACUAGUUGGUGAUAAUCUGUGUUUUACUUUACAGAUAAGAAAAUUGGGAUUUGCCAAAUUACUACCCUAGAAAAUUAAAUUACUACCCUAGUAUUCUAACCCAGAUCUAACAGCCCCAAAGCCCUGGGUUCACUGCUGUUUCCAAGAGACAAUUACUUUGGUGUAUCUGAAGGCAAAUAAGGUAGGGGUUGAGUGAACAGAGGCUUCUGAGUAAGGGACGUCAGGAUGCCUCGGUAUUUAGGUACACUUUCAUAGCCCAUUGUGUGCUUCUCUUAAAGGUACAAUGUUCUGUCUCCCUUUGAACAUUCAGUUUUCAACAUGUACAUCAAGAACUGUGCCUUUAUCUGUUUGUCAUAAGCUUUUAUAAUUUAACACAAUUUAUGUCUGCUUUUGAAAUUGUUUCUAUGGAAGAUAAUUCCAGAAUUGAUUUCGUAUCUAAUAAUUCUAUUACUUAGCUUGGGAAAUUUGUUAGUAAUUUUCACUUUAUUUGUAGAUAAAGAACUUUUUGGGCUAGUAUGAAUUUGGUAGUAAAAUUAUUUGAGCUAGAAAAGUGCUUUUGUUCAUUACAGCACUCACUCACCUAUGGAGUCAGAGGGGAGAUGGUUUUAUUUCUUUAAUUUUCCAAAAAUGUAGUUGUUAAGUUGAAAACUUAGGAGCGGAGUUCCCGUCAUGGCUCAGCGGUUAACGAACCCAUUUGUCCAUGAGGAUGUGGGUUCCAUCCUGGGCCUCGCUCAGUGGGUUAAGGAUCUGACGUUGCUGUGAGCUGUGGUGAAGGUUGCAGAUGCAGCUUGGAGCGUUGCUACGGCUGUGAUGUAGGCUGGCAACUACAGCUCCGAUUCAGCCCCUAGCCUGGGAA
This 4069-nucleotide long non-coding RNA is filed under the name Sus scrofa (pig). RNAcentral's name for it is "lncRNA (ENSSSCG00025006581.1)". Lineage: Eukaryota; Metazoa; Chordata; Mammalia; Artiodactyla; Suidae. The record is from RNAcentral.